RNAcentral lists this ribosomal RNA (665 nucleotides) under Listeria monocytogenes. RNAcentral describes it as "bacterial SSU rRNA". It matches the Rfam family "Bacterial small subunit ribosomal RNA", at positions 875 to 1533 of the family's 1533-position model. Lineage: Bacteria; Bacillati; Bacillota; Bacilli; Caryophanales; Listeriaceae. The record is from RNAcentral.
GGGGAGUACGACCGCAAGGUUGAAACUCAAAGGAAUUGACGGGGGCCCGCACAAGCGGUGGAGCAUGUGGUUUAAUUCGAAGCAACGCGAAGAACCUUACCAGGUCUUGACAUCCUUUGACCACUCUGGAGACAGAGCUUUCCCUUCGGGGACAAAGUGACAGGUGGUGCAUGGUUGUCGUCAGCUCGUGUCGUGAGAUGUUGGGUUAAGUCCCGCAACGAGCGCAACCCUUGAUUUUAGUUGCCAGCAUUUAGUUGGGCACUCUAAAGUGACUGCCGGUGCAAGCCGGAGGAAGGUGGGGAUGACGUCAAAUCAUCAUGCCCCUUAUGACCUGGGCUACACACGUGCUACAAUGGAUAGUACAAAGGGUCGCGAAGCCGCGAGGUGGAGCUAAUCCCAUAAAACUAUUCUCAGUUCGGAUUGUAGGCUGCAACUCGCCUACAUGAAGCCGGAAUCGCUAGUAAUCGUGGAUCAGCAUGCCACGGUGAAUACGUUCCCGGGCCUUGUACACACCGCCCGUCACACCACGAGAGUUUGUAACACCCGAAGUCGGUAGGGUAACCUUUAUGGAGCCAGCCGCCGAAGGUGGGACAGAUAAUUGGGGUGAAGUCGUAACAAGGUAGCCGUAUCGGAAGGUGCGGCUGGAUCACCUCCUUUCUAAGGAA